Molecule: ribosomal RNA, 413 nt
Filed under: uncultured bacterium
Lineage: Bacteria
Description: bacterial SSU rRNA
Rfam family: Bacterial small subunit ribosomal RNA
Source: RNAcentral
AACGAACGCUGGCGGCGUGGAUAAGACAUGCAAGUCGAGCGGGAUACUUCGGGUAGCAAUAUUCGGAGUGUUCAGCGGCGCAAGGGUGCGUAACACGUGGGUAAUCUGCCGUGAAGCCUGGAAUAACUCGCUGAAAGGCGAGCUAAUGCCGGAUGUGAAGUUUGGAAGGCAUCUUUUGGACUUCAAAGCUGGGGACCGUAAGGCCUGGCACUUCACGAUGAGCCCCGCGGCCUAUCAGCUAGUUGGUGAGGUAACGGCUCACCAAGGCUAAGACGGGUAGCUGGUCUGAGAGGACGACCAGCCACACUGGAACUGAGACACGGUCCAGACACCUACGGGUGGCAGCAGUCGAGAAUUUUUCACAAUGGGCGAAAGCCUGAUGGAGCGACGCCGCGUGGGGGAUGAAUGGCUUC